Molecule: ribosomal RNA, 1005 nt
Filed under: Aspicilia cinerea
Lineage: Eukaryota; Fungi; Ascomycota; Lecanoromycetes; Pertusariales; Megasporaceae
Description: SSU rRNA
Rfam family: Bacterial small subunit ribosomal RNA
Source: RNAcentral
CUUGGAGGAUGUAUAGCGAAAGCUAGUGUGUAUUAACGUUCGGACGUCUGUAGAAGUUUAUGCAGCAUCGACUAUGUCGAAUAAAGUUCUAGGUAAAGUUAUGAUUAUGACAUUUUCUAUCUAUGUGUCUUGACCAAGUCACGUGCCAGCAGUCGCGGUAAUACGCGGAAGACUAGUGUUAUUCAUCUUUAAUAGGUUUAAAGGGUACUUAGACGGUAAAUUUAGCCCAAGUAAAAACAAAGGGUACUAAUAUUACUAGAGUUUUAUGGGAGAGGGGUGUGAACUAAUGGAGUAGAGAUGAAAUUCUGUCAUACCAUUAUGACAGGCAACGGCGAAAGCAACCCUUUAUGUAAAAACUGACGUUAAAGGACGAAGGCUUUGUGUCACCAACAGGAUUAGAUACCCAAGCAGUCUUAGCAGACAAUUAUGAAUGCCAUAGAUAAGAAAAAAUAUACUUUGUAUUCUUAUUGCCACAGUAACAGAAACAGGUAAGAAACAGAAACAGAAAUGGGUAAGUGACAGAAACAAGCAAGAAACUGAAACCGGUAAGAACAAAGUUUUCUUUUUUUUUUCUUAUUGUCACAGAUAAGAAAAAAUAAACAAGAAACAAAAAAAGUCUUUUCUUUUUUUAGGAAAUUUUGUCUAUAAAUGAAAGUGUAAGCAUUCCACCUCAACAGUAAUGUGGCAACAUAUAAACUGAAAUCAUUAGACCGUUUCUGAAACCAGUAGUGAAGUAUGUUGUUUAAUUAGAUGGUCCGCAAAAAACCUUACCACAAUUUGUAUAUUAUUAGCUUAAUACAAGAGUUGCACGGCUGUCUUCAGUUAAUAUCGUGAGAGUUUGGUUAGUUCCAUAAAAUUAACGUAAACCCUUACUUUAUUUAUAUUAUAAAGUAGUUCACCGCUAUAUUGGAUAUGAUAAAAGGGACUAAGACAAGUCAUCAUGGCCUGAAUAUUGUGGGCUAUAGACGUGCCACAUAUGCCUAUACAAAGGGAUGCGAAAUUGUG